GCCCCCGCCCGCCACCGCCGCGCGGCCCAGCCGGCGUACCCGAGCCUCACUCCCCGCGAGGGCCGCGCGGAGGGGCGCGCAGGAGGAGGAGGAGCCGAGGACCGCGGAGGGGAGGAGGGGAGUAGGGGAGCAGCGCUGGGAAGCCGAGGGCUCCUCGCGCAAGUGCCCGCAGCGCCCGGAAGCGUCCAAAGGCCCCGAUGCUGGGAGAAUAUGUGGAGGCCUCUCGGGGAACCAGGACCACUUCCACGAUGACGCAAUAGUCAUGCCAAAGUAUACAUGUAUAUUUCACCUCCACCCGGCAGGCCAGAGCCAUCCUCUCGGCCUCUAAGUGCACAACGAAACUAGAAAUCAAGGAAGAGAGACCAAAAGGGUUAAAAAAAAUAAAAAUUUAAGGCGCGUGGGGUGGUGGGGGUCCUUGAGCUGGAAAGCAGAGACCCUGGCUUAUUGCGUGGUUCCCCCACCACCACCACCACCCCCACCGCACGCCUUCCGUAGCACGAGCUUGAAUCAUUUACUAUGAAACCGGUGACUAAGGGAGAUACAGCGUGUUGAACCACUGAAGCACGCCCCCUCACACACCAGCAAGAAAAGGGAUACCCCGUCGGCUCUGGACCUGGCAAAUGUACCUGGGCUCCCCCUGGAGGCCACAUUCUCCGAGGUCCCCUUUCGGUCCCCAGUGUCCCUCAGGUAUUCCGUUGUAAUCCCGGAUAACUGAUACACCCUAGUGCUCUGAAACUUGGCCUGUGCUCGAGGCGGCAACCCCUGCCCCUCUGCCUGGCGACGCUUGAACACACCCGUCUGACCAGGUCCCGUUCACUGGCCAAGAGUGUAGCAUUGAACAUGGGGCACUGGGGCGGGGGUGCACUCCACGCUGACACCGCACUCCACCCCUUAACUUGCUGACCAGGGAUAAUCGCUUCCUUUCAUCGAUUCACAGCGUUAGAAAAAUGCAGCGUUGAGAGGCAGCGCGGAGGUCAACUGGACCAUCACCCUUAGGUUGCAGGGAAGAAAACUGAGACCUAGAAAGGUGAAGCGGUUGUCCCAAAGGCUUCCAGCUACUCCCGGUACUCAAGGACUUGGAGCACACUUGGGGAGAUUCUCACUGUUGUAUUCCCGUUCCUCACUUUUCAGGAGGCCUGAACUCUCAAACUCCGAAUCUGAUUUCCACUCUCCCACGAAGGCUACGGAAAUAACGGAAAGUUCCUUGCAGAUUCUCACUGAGCCUCUCCCCAGGCCCCACCCUUUGGCCCUGUGUGUCUGCGACUAGGUGGAUUGUCAAUACAGGAGUCCAUACUGACUCUGAAUCCCUAAUUUUGGCCUGUAUUCUUCUUCCUCUCUGAACCAUCUUUUUAGAAGUCACUGUACCAAGAGUGCCAGAAAACCAUCCCAAGACUCACAUAGGGUUGUUCCUCAUAGUGGAUGUUUUGGCCACUGGACAUCAGAACCAAAUUUUGAGUUUGAAGAAUCUUCUACAUGUGAUGACCUACUAAAUGAUUUCACAGUCCACCAGAGGGUCACGGUCCACACCUGGAGACACUCCAAUGCAGGUCUCUGCUGACUGAGUGCACUGGCUUGUGGCUGGAGGUGAG
Piliocolobus tephrosceles (Ugandan red Colobus) is the source of this 1589-nucleotide long non-coding RNA. RefSeq lists it as uncharacterized. NCBI's taxonomy places the organism in Eukaryota, Metazoa, Chordata, Mammalia, Primates, Cercopithecidae. The transcript is spliced from 5 exons. The record is from RefSeq and is a predicted model, not a curated record.